RNAcentral lists this ribosomal RNA (505 nucleotides) under uncultured bacterium. RNAcentral describes it as "partial 16S ribosomal RNA". It matches the Rfam family "Bacterial small subunit ribosomal RNA", at positions 28 to 507 of the family's 1533-position model. The record is from RNAcentral.
GACGAACGCUGGCGGCGUGCCUAAUACAUGCAAGUAGAACGCACAGUUUAUACCGUAGCUUGCUACACCAUAGACUGUGAGUUGCGAACGGGUGAGUAACGCGUAGGUAACCUGCCUGGUAGCGGGGGAUAACUAUUGGAAACGAUAGCUAAUACCGCAUAAUAUUAAUUAUUGCAUGAUAAUUAAUUGAAAGGUGCAAUUGCACCACUACCAGAUGGACCUGCGUUGUAUUAGCUAGUAGGUGAGGUAACGGCUCACCUAGGCGACGAUACAUAGCCGACCUGAGAGGGUGAUCGGCCACACUGGGACUGAGACACGGCCCAGACUCCUACGGGAGGCAGCAGUAGGGAAUCUUCGGCAAUGGACGAAAAUCUGACCGAGCAACGCCGCGUGAGUGAAGAAGGUUUUCGGAUCGUAAAGCUCUGUUGUAAGAGAAGAACGGGUGUGAGAGUGGAAAGUUCACACUGUGACGGUAUCUUACCAGAAAGGGACGGCUAACUACGUG